CCUACGGGAGGCAGCAGUGAGGAAUAUUUGUCAAUGGGCGGGAGCCUGAACCAGCCAAGCCGCGUGAGGGAAGAAGGUACAACGUAUCGUAAACCUCUUUUGUCAGGGAACAAAGGCGGGGACUAGUCCCCGUAUGAGGGUACCUGAAGAAAAAGCAUCGGCUAACUCCGUGCCAGCAGCCGCGGUAAUACGGAGGAUGCGAGCGUUAUCCGGAUUUAGUGGGUUUAAAGGGUGCGCAGGCGGCCUGUUAAGUCAGCGGUAAAAGCCCGGGGCUCAACCCCGGCGAGCCGUUGAAACUGGCGGGCUGGAGUGGGAGAGAAGUACGCGGAAUGCGCGGUGUAGCGGUGAAAUGCUUAGAUAUCGCGCAGAACCCCGAUUGCGAAGGCAGCGUACCGGCUCCAAACUGACGCUGAGGCACGAAAGCGUGGGUAUCGAACAGGAUUAGAUACCCCAGUAGUC
RNAcentral lists this ribosomal RNA (459 nucleotides) under uncultured bacterium. Its description in RNAcentral is "partial 16S ribosomal RNA". It matches the Rfam family "Bacterial small subunit ribosomal RNA", at positions 338 to 795 of the family's 1533-position model. The record is from RNAcentral.